CGGCAUAUUCGUGAAGCUAAUGCAAUCAUCCUAUAGCGUAAUCAUGAUGCAUGAAACAUGAUAAAACAUUUAAUUUAAAAGAUUAAGUUUAGUUCCACUCACCUCUGGCUGACUCUGACAACACCGAAGCAGCUCACCUCACUGCUGGGGUCCUCGGUUCCUCGGGUCCGAACCUACACAGGUGGACUCAAAUGAGGAACCAAACAUACUUGAACAUAACUCUAAAAUACUCCCCAAAAACCCCCUAAAACAUCAUGAACCAAUCAUACAAAAACAUGCAAAGAAGGCCUGGACAGGGCACUUUCGGCGGCAGGUUCGGCGGCCGAAAGUCCCUCCAGAGCCGAAAGUCAGGCAGGUUCGGCGGCACCUUCGGCGGCCGAACCUCCUAGACAGAUCCGAAAGUCUUCUUUCGGGGGCAAGCUUCGGCAGCCGAAUGCUGCCUCCACAAGGGGGUUUGGCGGCCGAAACUCCCUUCGACGGCCGAACCUGGUUUCUGCCAGAAGGGCAGAAACUUGGUUCACAUGAACCCCUUGCCUCCCAAAACCUCAAAUCAUGCAUAAAUCUCAACCAAAACAUGCAUACAAGUUCCUAGGGGUCUCAAACAGUCAUAUACCCCAACUACAACACCUCAAACACACACAAUCAACACACAUUGUUCAAAACAUCAAUAUUAACCCAUAACUCAACAUAUAACCUAACAUGCAUUUCUACCCAUAGAUCUUGCAUAAAACUUAUUUAAAAAAACAUAAGGAGCUUAAGAUCGCCUCUUGAAGAUCGAGAGGGAGACGACCUAAACUUGGAGAUCCACGAAAAUGAGCUCCUGAGUUCCCAAAGCUCCAAAACUUGGUUUAAAUGCUCAAAACUUGCAAUGUGAGUUUAAAACUCAAGAAAAAUGGAAGAGAUUUGGAGGAAGAACACAAGAGUUGCAAAGGGAAGGUCGGAAGCUUGCUGUGGCCGAGAAUGGGAGAAAACUCGCCCAUUUCGACUAAGUGCCCCUUUUAUAGGUGGCUGGCCAGGCCACGUUCGGGGGCCGAAUGCGCUUCCGCAUCCAUGCAAUGUUCGACGGCCGAACUUGACUUUCGGCGGCCGAAACUGGACUUCCCUAACUCAUGCUUUCGGGGGCCUAACGUGCCUCCAAAACGGAUGCAUGUUCGGCGGCCGAACUUGACUUUCGGCGGCCGAACCUGGGUUUUCCUCCAAGGACUUUUCAUGCAAAAACUCAUUUAAUUUCAUACUUAAAAUCAUAAAACACAUUAAAACAUUUUUAUAAAACAUGAUUCUACCCUUCCAGAGGUCUCCGGCAUCCGAGAUUCCACCGGACGGUAGGAAUUCCGAUACCGGAGUCUAGCCGGGUAUUACACUUCUAGACAGUUGAAGAAGUACGAGUUGAAUUACCCUACCCAUGACCUCGAGAUGGCAGCAGUUAUCUUUGCACUUAAGAUGUGGCGGCAUUACUUCUACGGGGUUAAAUGCGAGAUCUUCACUGAUCACAGGAGUUUACAGUACAUCUUGAGUCAGAGAGAGCUGAAUUUGAGGCAGAGAAGAUGGGUAGAAUUGCUCUGUGAUUAUGAUUGUAAGAUCCAGUAUCAUCCGGGUAAGGCGAAUGUUGUAGCAGACGCCUUAAGCCGGAAGUCACUAGGCAGUUUAUCCCAUAUCGCAGUAGAGCGAAGACCAGUCGUAAUGGAGCUUUACAAGCUCUUAGAAGAGGGGUUACAGCUAGAGUUGUCUGGUACAGGUGCGUUGAUAGCACAGAUAAGAGUGACACCUGUGUUUCUGGAGCAGAUAGCUCAGAGACAGCACGAGGACCCAGCAUUGAUGAAAAUUGCCAGGUGACAGAGCGGUUGUCGAAGCCGGUCAAAAAUAACCUUUCUGGUUAUCAACAAUUUACAACUGUAGAUAGUGGUGAAAGGAUUGAAUCCACAGAGAAUUGAUUACCUAUUUAUUUUUCUCAACAAGACCAAUAAAAUAAACUGAAACAAUGAGAUAAAAACUGAAAGUGGGAUCAAAUGAGAUAAACUGGAAACAGAAUAAAAAUAAAUUGCAAAUAAAGUAAAAUGGGGGGGUUUUGAGAUUGAUUGUAGUAACUAAUAUUGAGAGUAAUAAUAGAAAGCAAAUAAUGAAAUAAAAAGUAAUUAAUGAUGAGAAAGCUCUAGUUGAAAUAUUGGAUCCACUUUAGUUGUUGGGGUUGAUCACAGACACUUUGCUCUUUUGGGUUGACCCAAUAGAUUAGUUAUGGAGAUGGAAGACGCUUCUCACCACCAUUAUCUCUCUUUAGGAAUAAAUUAAUUAGGGAACGUCCUCUAAUUAAUUACUAAUUAACAAAUUGCCAAGAAACGUCCUUGGACCUUAGGCAUCAAAACAAUUGUCAAUUGCAUUAAGAAAGAGAGAGACCCAAUCCUAGCUACCCAAACGUAUGGAGAUAACGCUAGAUCAUGCAAUUUCCUUGGGUUCUAUCCCAAGUGUCCUCAUGUAAGAAUAACCCAAGCAAUUACGGACUUAAAUUAUUCAAACUAACAAAUAAUUAUUUUGCAAUAAAAAAUCAACGUAGAUUUCAAUAACAAAAUAAUAUGAGAAUUAAAUACGAAAUUGCAUGAAUAUUGAAUUUCCAAAAAUUGAAUAAUAUUUGAUCAAGU
RNAcentral lists this long non-coding RNA (2633 nucleotides) under Manihot esculenta (cassava). RNAcentral's name for it is "long non-coding RNA (MESC_LNC010575)". The record is from RNAcentral. Lineage: Eukaryota; Viridiplantae; Streptophyta; Magnoliopsida; Malpighiales; Euphorbiaceae.